Molecule: long non-coding RNA, 808 nt
Filed under: Numida meleagris (helmeted guineafowl)
Lineage: Eukaryota; Metazoa; Chordata; Aves; Galliformes; Numididae
Description: lncRNA (ENSNMEG00000003471.1)
Source: RNAcentral
CUGACAUUUAGCAACAUUGCAUUAACACCUGACUCCUUGUCAAGUUAGCUAAAGUUGCAGAUUUUAGGCAAAAGCAUAAGUGGGGUAUGGGCUAACCCUAGAAGGAAGUUCCCCCCUUCCUUUGAGGUGUAUAGCUUUUUUUUUUUUUUUGUCACAGGUUGACUUUGUGCCACUGAAGUUUGGGGCACAGCUGUGCCUCCAAAGCCUCAGCCCCACAGUGCCUGGAGGUCGUUACUUUGUUAGCACGGCUGGGCCUUAUUAGGACUGGCCCAGCCCUAACAGCUACCUCAAAACCUUUGGUCUUGGCUAAUCUAGGCAAGGCUGUUUCUAUUCAUGUUUCACUGUAAGCCUGGAUGGCUGUGGCUGUCACAUCCCUGUGCAGGAUGUCGUAGUAGGGGUGGCGUGAAUGGUGCAGGAUGUGCAAUGAAGAAUGAAGCUAUGGUCUAAGGAAAGGAACCUGAGAUUUAUGUUGCCAGGAGGAGGGAAUAGGAACGCUUCUGACCUGACACUGGGGCUCUAGAGACUGCGGCGGGAACACCUUGCUCUUCAGAGGGAAGUGUGUGCUGAACUUUUCACCUCUGUGGCUGGAUGGAAACUGGUUCAGUUCCCUCUACAGCACUGGGCAUUUGGAAAGAAGGUGCUCAGGGGUGAGGGAGGUGAGAUGUGCAGGAAGAAAUGAAGCGUGGGUGAGUGAGAAGGUCUGUGAUCACCUAGAAAGGGACUUGGACUUCAUAUAGAAGAUGAAAACCAUGGGCAGGUAGUGGUCAGGGCAGUGAGAAAAUAAAUCCGCCCUGGUCGGAGUAUAGCA